CCUACGGGUGGCAGCAGUGAGGAAUAUUGGUCAAUGGGCGCGAGCCUGAACCAGCCAAGUCGCGUGAGGGAAGACGGUCCUAUGGAUUGUAAACCUCUUUUGUCGGGGAGCAAAAGACACCACGUGUGGCGUUCCGAGAGUACCCGAAGAAAAAGCAUCGGCUAACUCCGUGCCAGCAGCCGCGGUAAUACGGAGGAUGCGAGCGUUAUCCGGAUUUAUUGGGUUUAAAGGGUGCGCAGGCGGAAGAUCAAGUCAGCGGUAAAAUUGAGAGGCUCAACCUCUUCGAGCAAUUGAAACUGGUUGUCUUGAGUGAGCGAGAGGUAUGCGGAAUGCGUGGUGUAGCGGUGAAAUGCAUAGAUAUCACGCAGAACUCCGAUUGCGAAGGCAGCAUACCGGCGCUCAACUGACGCUCAUGCACGAAAGUGUGGGUAUCGAACAGGAUUAGAUACCCUUGUAGUC
RNAcentral lists this ribosomal RNA (459 nucleotides) under uncultured bacterium. RNAcentral's name for it is "partial 16S ribosomal RNA". It matches the Rfam family "Bacterial small subunit ribosomal RNA", at positions 338 to 795 of the family's 1533-position model. The record is from RNAcentral.